RNA transcript from Oncorhynchus tshawytscha (Chinook salmon), 5447 nucleotides. It is a transcript of the gene named regulator of nonsense transcripts 1, with no coding region annotated. NCBI's taxonomy places the organism in Eukaryota, Metazoa, Chordata, Actinopteri, Salmoniformes, Salmonidae. The transcript is spliced from 25 exons. The record is from RefSeq and is a predicted model, not a curated record.
UUCUCUAUGCACGUUGUGUGGCUAGGAAGUUCGUCACUGGUGUUGGAGUUCAGGCGCCUCGAGUUGUUUUCGGUUUAAUUUCUGGUGCGGUUAGAAUUUUGUUUAGGUUCAAAUCAGACUCGAAGCAGAAGCGGUGAUCACAGAUAUCAGCAUUGAUAAACAUAUCACUGAAGAUCUUGAUCAUAUUCAUCGCCGCAUCGGAGUCCGUUUAGGACGCGCAACUUGUGUCGAGAUGAGUGUGGAAGCGUACGGGCCGAGUUCUCAAACGCUCACCUUCCUGGACACCGAAGAAGCGGAGCUACUUGGAGCAGAUACCCAGGGCUCGGAGUACGAGUUUACCGAUUUUACCCUACCUAGCCAGACACAAACUCAAGGCCACACCCAGAGUCAGCUGGACAAUCAGGUGAAUGGUCCUAAUGAAGGGCUUCACAAUGGAGGGGUUGAUGAUGUUGCCAAGGCGAGCCAAAUUCUCUCUGAGUUGAACUUUGAGGAGGAUGAAGAGGACACCUAUUACACUAAAGACCUCCCACUGCAUGCCUGCAGUUACUGUGGCAUCCAUGAUCCUGCGUGUGUGGUGUACUGCAACACAAGCAAGAAGUGGUUCUGCAAUGGACGUGGCAAUACAUCUGGCAGCCACAUCGUAAACCACUUGGUGAGAGCCAAAUGCAAAGAGGUGACUCUGCACAAAGACGGGCCGUUGGGCGAGACGGUGCUGGAGUGCUACAACUGUGGCUGUCGCAACGUCUUCCUCCUGGGCUUCAUACCCGCCAAGGCCGACUCUGUGGUGGUGCUGCUGUGCAGGCAGCCAUGUGCCAGUCAGAGCAGCCUGAAAGACAUAAACUGGGACAGCUCCCAGUGGCAGCCGCUGAUCCAGGACCGCUGCUUCCUGUCCUGGCUGGUAAAGAUCCCCUCGGAGCAGGAGCAGCUCCGGGCCCGACAGAUUACCGCCCAACAGAUCAACAAGCUAGAGGAGCUCUGGAAGGACAAUCCAACAGCCACUCUGGAGGAUCUGGAGAAGCCCGGUGUAGAUGAGGAGCCUCAACAUGUGCUGCUGCGCUACGAGGAUGCCUACCAGUACCAAAACAUCUUCGGCCCCCUUGUCAAACUGGAGGCCGACUACGACAAAAAGCUUAAAGAGUCCCAGACCCAAGAUAAUAUAACGGUCAGGUGGGACCUGGGGCUGAAUAAAAAGCGGAUUGCCUAUUUCUCCUUGCCCAAGACGGAUUCAGGUGACAUGCGGCUGAUGCAGGGAGAUGAGAUUUGUCUGCGCUACAAAGGAGACCUGGCUCCACUUUGGAAAGGCAUCGGCCAUGUCAUCAAAGUCCCAGACACACCCUUUGUGAAAGACUAUGGAGAUGAGAUUGCUAUAGAAUUGCGCAGCAGUGUCGGAGCACCUGUGGAAACAACCCACGACUACCAGGUGGAUUUCGUGUGGAAGUCCACUUCCUUUGACAGAAUGCAGAGUGCCCUGAAGACCUUUGCUGUGGACGAGACGUCCGUGUCAGGCUACAUCUACCACAAACUGCUGGGCCACGAGGUGGAGGAUGUCAUCAUCAAGUGUCAGCUGCCCAAACGCUUCACUGCCCAGGGCCUACCCGAUCUCAACCACUCUCAGGUGUAUGCUGUGAAGACUGUGCUGCAAAGACCCCUCAGUCUUAUCCAAGGCCCCCCCGGCACUGGGAAAACUGUCACCUCUGCCACCAUAGUGUACCAGCUCGCCAGGCAGGGCAACGGACCCGUGCUGGUGUGUGCUCCCAGUAACAUCGCAGUGGACCAGCUGACUGAGAAGAUCCACAUGUCAGGUCUGAAGGUGGUCCGGCUGUGUGCUAAGAGCAGAGAGGCCAUUGACUCCCCCGUCUCAUUCCUGGCGCUGCACAACCAGAUCCGCAACAUGGACAGUAUGCCAGAGCUGCAGAAGCUGCAGCAGCUGAAGGAUGAGACCGGGGAGCUGUCGUCUGCUGACGAGAAGCGUUACCGGGCCCUGAAGCGCACCGCUGAGCGAGAGCUGCUCACGAAUGCGGAUGUGAUCUGCUGUACCUGUGUGGGGGCAGGAGAUCCACGCCUGGCCAAGAUGCAGUUCCGCUCCAUCUUGAUUGAUGAGAGCACCCAGGCCACCGAGCCAGAGUGCAUGGUGCCUGUGGUCCUGGGUGCCAAGCAGCUCAUUCUGGUGGGAGACCACUGCCAGCUGGGCCCAGUAGUGAUGUGUAAGAAGGCAGCCAAAGCAGGCCUGUCCCAGUCUCUGUUUGAGCGUCUGGUGGUGCUGGGCAUCAGGCCCAUUCGUCUGCAGGUGCAGUACCGUAUGCACCCGGCCCUUAGCUCUUUCCCCUCCAACAUCUUCUACGAGGGCUCCCUGCAGAACGGAGUCACCGCUGCUGACCGCAUCAAGAAAGGCUUUGACUUCCAGUGGCCGCAGCCAGACAAGCCCAUGUUCUUCUAUGUAACUCAAGGCCAGGAGGAAAUAGCCAGCUCUGGAACGUCCUACCUGAACAGAACUGAGGCGGCCAACGUGGAGAAGAUCACAACCAGGCUGCUGAAGGCUGGGGCCAAGCCUGACCAGAUAGGCAUCAUCACCCCCUACGAGGGCCAGAGGUCCUACCUGGUGCAGUACAUGCAGUUCAGUGGUUCCCUCCAUACAAAACUCUACCAGGAGGUUGAGAUCGCCAGCGUGGACGCGUUCCAGGGCAGGGAGAAGGACUUUAUCAUCCUGUCGUGCGUACGAGCCAACGAGCACCAGGGCAUCGGCUUCCUCAAUGACCCGCGCCGUCUCAACGUGGCCCUCACCAGAGCCAAGUAUGGGGUGAUCAUUGUGGGCAACCCAAAGGCCCUGUCCAAGCAGCCUCUGUGGAACCACCUUCUCAACUACUACAAGGAGCAGAAGGUUCUGGUGGAGGGACCCCUCAACAACCUGAGAGAGAGCCUGAUGCAGUUCAGCAGGCCCCGCAAGCUGGUCAAUGCCAUCAACCCUGGAGCCCGGUUCAUGAGCACUGCCAUGUAUGAUGCCCGUGAGGCCCUCAUCCCUGGGUCUGCCUACGAUCGCAGCAGCGCAGGGCGUCCAUCCAACAUGUAUUUCCAAACCCACGAUCAGAUCGGCAUGAUUGGGACUGGGCCAGCCCACAUGGCGGCCAUGAACAUGCCUAUUCCCUUCAACUUGGUGGUGCCCCCCAUGCCUCCGCCAGGCUACCUGGCCCAGGCCAACGGCCCUGCUGCAGGUCGUGGUGGGGUGCUGAAGGGCAAAGUGGGGCGUGGCGGGCGCCAGAGGACCCGCGGCAUGGGGAACCACGGUAGCAGCGGGCAGGCCAACGGGCACAACAGCCAGGCUAGCCAGGACGUAUCUUCCCAGCCCUUCUCCCAGGGGCCACUCACCCAGGGCUACAUCACAAUGAGUCAGCCCUCCCAGAUGAGCCAGCCUGGCCUCUCCCAGCCUGAACUUUCCCAGGACAGUUAUUUAGGUGACGAGUUCAAGUCCCAGAUCGACGUGGCUCUGUCGCAGGAUUCGACUUACCAGGGUGAACGUGCAUACCAACAUGGUGGAGUGACUGGACUGUCACAGUACUAGAGUGUUGUUGGAAGAGGAGCUAGGCUUGAGCUGAGCUUAGUUCAUCAGCAUUUUAAUCUGGGUAGUAAUAAAAACAAAAAAUGGAGACCUGUUUUCCUCUACAACUGAAGCACCACCGUGUGAAAUCAACGGGAGAGAGAAACCAACCAAUCGCGAGAGAGUGGUAGAAAAAACGGACGGCCAGGAAGAGGGAACGUGUGGGAGUGAGGGACCACUGCCGGCACAUGGGAACGAAAGCGAGAGGAAGACGGUGGCCAGUGGUCGAGCUGUCGUGAGGAAGACGAAACGAGGAACAACUCCCUCCCUCCACAACCCUUUUCCCACCUCCCAUUCUAACCUCACACCUCUGUCUGAGAGAAUGACCAGUUAUCCAGAGGACCUUGCUCUUUGAUCAGCUAACAGAGAAAGAAAGACAAGUUCUCAAGCAACUUGGCUGGGGGAGCACUAACUCUCGAAAGCGGAUAACAAGAAAGUAGAGGGGGGAGGGUGUGGAACACUUCAAGCAGGCAACAUAGGAAAUCAUCACCUCAAUGUUGAUCACUUGCGGUGUUGAUCUCAACUCUCAGACCUGAAAUCUCAUCAAAUGACCACAAGAAGAACAGUCUCCAAGAGGAACAGUCUCCAAGAGGAACAGUCUCCAAGAGGAACAGUCUCCAAGAGGAACAGUCUCCAAGAGGAACAGUGGCAGUUCACAUCGUCGUUCAACUUUGAGUUGAAAAGUUUUCUCCGCUAAGUCUGAUAAUAAAGAACUUUGAAUUGAAAUGCCUUUGAUGGCCUUCGGAACCAUUUGGCUUUUUCAACAGGUCUUUUCAGAAACAGGUGGUUAACUGGAAGUCUGGUGGAGUUGAGUGGCAUGGGGAUAUCAGAGGAAGGUUUCUGAAGUGGUAUAAAGAAGCCCAAACAUGAAUGCAGGUGAAAGCAACCUAAGCCAGCAUAUACCAACUUCAUAGAAAGAAUCGCUGAAUGUGACCAGUAGGUUGUGACAUUGAAACCCACAGAGUCAUCACUUGAACCUGAGUCAAAGUGUUUCUGAAUGGUUACUGAAUGUACGAGCUGGUUUAAGCCACCUUCCUUCUCUUAGGAGUUGCCACUAAACCAGGUUGGUAGAAUGGCCUUCCUUUUGUAACUUCUAUUUUAUGAGUGUUUUUACACUUUUGGCUUCCCUAUAGUUCGCCCAUCUGUUUGCUCCAAAUUCCUAUGGCUCCCAAACCCUCCAUUCUUAACCCUCUGUGAAUUGUAAUUUCCCCCCAGUAUUUUCUUUUUUGCAUGAUUUUCCUGCCAGGGGUGAGGUUGUGAACAGCAAAAUGACACUUAAACCACACUAUAUGGUUUAAUUUGUUAUCUGAUGACAAAGGGGGAUUAAAUAAUGGGUUUUUUAAAGUUUUAAAUCAAUAAUUUAAAUAAACUGUCCAUGGGACUGUUUUAUAUUGAGGAAUCCUUGGCUAUUUGAGGAGUCCUCUAUCAGUUUUUAGGAAUGUCAUUUGGAUGCUUCGAGCACCAAAUUGAGAAUGUAUUCAUUUUAGCUCACCACCUGCAUUGUCCUCUGCUGUCCAUUUCUUUUUCUUUGUCGUCACCUGACUUUGAAUAUGUCAAUCCAAAACACAUUGUAUGACAAUCUUGCUGUCAAAUAGCUAGUCAUGGUUGAAGAAAUGCUUACAAAUGGUCUUUUUUGAUCAACAUUAUGCAUUUUUCCAUGUUGAUUAUGUUACUGUAUUUCACAUCAAGAAUUCCAGCAGGGAAUAUAGCAUUGCUCCUUAUACUUUUUACUAAGAUGGUGACAUUAUACUUAUGUUGAAAUGAAAUACAGCAAUCCUGCUAUCAAAGUUUGUCAUCUGUUACAUGGCCAGCACUGCUAACUAGAAAUGUAUUAAAAGUAUAUUACCAAACUAUA